AAAUUGAAGAACCCUCAGCUGUCUCUGGACGCCAGGCUCGGCUGCGUUGACCAAAAUCUGUGGAAGAGAAGGUGCAAGGUGUCACCUCCUCUUGCACUUUCUGAUUUUGUCUGAAACUGGAAUUGAAGUUGCCAAGAUUCCAUGAAAGGGAAAUGGACAAGGAUUUCUGGCCCAACUAAAAGCAGGAAAGACCAGAAAUCAUGCAAUGAAGUCUGUUUUCAUAAGAUUCCCAAGCCAUUUGUACAGACAUGAGAUGGCUUCACCCUAAGAAGUUCAAGAAGAUAGACUAUUUCUAAGGGCAGAAGUCAUAGUGGACCACCAAAAACUGAGACAGAAGCUAGCAACUGAUGAAGAAAUGAAGACAAACAGCAACCACUCCAUCCAGAUAGGCAGUAGAGGUAGAAUCCAAACUAUAGAAAGAACAGGACCAAAGUCUUCUAAUCCAUGAAAGAGUGCUGGAGGAUUAUGCAAAAUAAGAAUAAACAGAGGAAAAUACUGGACAUAGUGAAGAAAUAUUAUGACUUAAGAAAAAUCCAAGAAGUAGACUCAAAGAAGAAAGUAAUCCACAAUAAUAAGCAGAGUCUCAGGGGAAAAAAUUAAAAUCUUGUCUAUGAGGACUACAAGAGUAACUGGAA
Vombatus ursinus (common wombat) is the source of this 635-nucleotide long non-coding RNA. RefSeq lists it as uncharacterized. The transcript has 3 exons. Lineage: Eukaryota; Metazoa; Chordata; Mammalia; Diprotodontia; Vombatidae. The record is from RefSeq and is a predicted model, not a curated record.